UGAGUUUUGUCUUAUUUUUAUUGUUUUGUUUUGAUGAUUUAUUUUUAAUGGAAUUAUCUUUUUGUUAUUGUAUAUUUUUGAUUUAAUUUUAUUUAUUAUAGUUUACUUGUACUGUGAGGGUUUGCGUUAAUUAAUUUUUUAUAAGCUGUCUUUGUUUGUCGUACCUUGUGUAUCAGGGUUUAUUGAAUAUUAUUAUUUAUUUUUUGUUUCCCGAUUUUAAGAGGAGUUAAUGGUUUAUGUUGGUUGUUGUUUUAUAAACAUGAUUAAUAUUCUGUUGGUAGUGAAAUGUUAUUCGUCUUUGUUGGUUUCUGGUUUUUCAAGAAAUGAAUUUAAUUCAUGCAUCUUAUUUAAAUUUAUUAUUUUUUUAUUAUGUUUUAAUUUGCUGUUAAGAUUAGGGGGGAUUAGCUCUCUUUUUAAGUUAUUAUAAUUUUUUAUGUUUCAAAAUCUUUGUUGAUUUUAUAGUGAUUUUCUAUUUGAUUAUGUUAAAAUUUUAUUUUUUGUUUGUUUACUUUUAUUUUUAUUUAAUUUUUUAUUGGAAUAUUAUUUUUAAUUAUUUUUGUUUUGUAUUUAUUGUUGAAUUAGUAAAUUUGUUUUUAUUUUGUUUAUGUAUUUUUGUGAAUUUCUUCUUAGGAAUUAGGCAAGAAUUUUGUGUCCGCCUGUUUAACAAAAACAUCUUUUCUUGUUAGUUUUUGAAGUAUGGCCUGCCCACUGAGUUUUUUGAAGGGCCGCGGUAUUUUGACCGUGCAAAGGUAGCAUAAUCAUUAGUUCUUUAAUUGUGAUCUGGAAUGAAUGGCUUGACGAGAUGCAAACUGUCUUAGAUUUUGUUGAAUUUUUAUUGAAUUUGGUUUCUGAGUUAAAAUUCUCAGGUUUUUUUAUGGGACGAGAAGACCCUAUAGAGUUUAUACAUUUAUUUUUGUUUCUUUUAUUGUUUGAUUGGUUUUCUUUAAUAAAAUUAUAUUGUUUUGUUGGGGUGAUUGGAAGAAUUUGUUUAACUCUUCUUUUCUAUUUAUCAUUUAUGUGUGUUUUUUUGAUCCAUUUAUUUUGAUUAUAAGAUUAAAUUACCUUAGGGAUAACAGCGUUAUCCCCCUUGAGAGUUCUUAUUGGCAGGGGGGUUUGCGACCUCGAUGUUGGAUUAAGAUUUAUUUUUGGUGUAGGAGCUGAUAUUAUAUUGGGUCUGUUCGACCUUUAAAAUCUUACAUGAUCUGAGUUCAGACCGGCGUGAGCCAGGUUGGUUUCUAUCUAUAAUUAGUUGGUAUUCCUUAGUACGAGAGGACCAGGUAUGCAGAAUAAUUUUAUUUGUGAUGAAUUUUAGUAAUUU
Molecule: ribosomal RNA, 1318 nt
Filed under: Parrhinotermes microdentiformis
Lineage: Eukaryota; Metazoa; Arthropoda; Insecta; Blattodea; Rhinotermitidae
Description: 16S ribosomal RNA
Rfam family: Bacterial large subunit ribosomal RNA (bases 1069-1230)
Source: RNAcentral